UCCAGUUUAACACUGGCAGUCUCUCCAAGGUUCCCAACUUAAUGGUGGCAAUAGGAGACGAGGGUUGCGCUCGUUACGGGACUUAACCCAACAUCUCACGACACGAGCUGACGACAGCCAUGCAGCACCUGUCUUUCGGUUCCCCUUGCGGGGCACCAGCGUAUCUCUACACCGUUCCGAAGAUGUCAAGCCCAGGAUAAGGUUCUUCGCGUUGCAUCGAAUUGAACCACAUGCUCCACCGCUUGUGCGGGUCCCCGUCAAUUCCUUUGAGUUUUAAUCUUGCGACCGUACUUCCCAGGCGGAAUACUUAACGCGUUAGCUUCGACACAGAGAGGGUUUACUCUCCCUACAUCAAGUAUUCAUCGUUUACGGCGUGGACUAC
This 382-nucleotide unclassified non-coding RNA is filed under the name uncultured Pseudomonadota bacterium. Its description in RNAcentral is "uncultured proteobacterium contains 16S-23S intergenic spacer region". Lineage: Bacteria; Pseudomonadati; Pseudomonadota. The record is from RNAcentral.